UGAAAGUGACUUAAUCAUAUUUAGAACAUACACAAAGAGAUGGGGCAUCCUGGUACAAUGUGACACAGCCAAUGAAACUGAGUGUCCAGGUUCCCCCACUGUAAAGCUAAAAAGCAGAACUAAUUACACUAAGUGGAACAACAGCCUAGGUGAAAAUGUCACAAUUAAUGGCAGCGUUAGGGUAUGCAAAAAAAAUUAGGCAUGCCGAUAGACAAAGUGUUCAAGAGAAUUUGGAAAGGGCUGUUUAAACUACUGGUCAAAAUAAGUAAACUGGUCCUAACAAUUACCUGGUCAAUCUUCAAGGGGAUCAGAUGGUUGAUAAAGGGACUGAUCAUCUGGAGCAUGGUAUAUGAGAGAGUGCAUCCUCCUAGAAGACAGGGACCAGCAGUUCCUGUUGAACAGGAUGUACUGCUCAUGACCCCGAGAGUAACGGAUGUGACUCAAGUUUAAGGGGCAGAAAGGUGAAUAAAUAAGAGAGCCCCCAGCCGCUCAGAUCACAAACACUCUCCUGCUCAGAGACACAGAGGCAUCCUGCUCUUCACACAACGCAACUCAACAACCAGAUUAACUUUAGGCAGUGAAAACUUAAAGCUAUCCUCUACCAUGACUUCCAACGAAACUGACCAUGACGCCUCGACUGAGGCAUGCAGUCCCUUCACUGACCAGCAGGACCAGGAGGAACACGACAAGCCAUGGAAUGGGGGCCCCAUGGAAGACACCCAGUCCGGGGAAGAAGAUUGGGAAGAAGAAGAAGUUAAUAGGUUAAUAGGCCAAUAAGGCACAGAGUAAUGACCCGGCUUGUCACCAAAAGCACUCACAAACUUCUACAGAUGCACAAUCGAGAGCAUCCUGGCGGGCUGUAUCACCGCCUGGUACGGCAACUGCUCCGCCCUCAACCGUAAGGCUCUCCAGAGGGUAGUGAGGUCUGCACAACGCAUCACCGGGGGCAAACUACCUGCCCUCCAGGACACCUACACCACCCGAUGUUACAGGAAGGCCAUAAAGAUCAUCAAGGACAUCAACCACCCGAACCACUGCCUGUUCACCCCGCUAUCAUCCAGAAGGCGAGGUCAGUACAGGUGCAUCAAAGCUGGGACUGAGAGACUGAAAAACAGCUUCUAUCUCAAGGCUAUCAGACUGUUAAACAGCCACCAUUGAGUGGCUGCUGCCAACACACUGUCAUUGACACUGACCCAACUCCAGCCACUUUAAUAAUGGGAAUUGAUGGGAAAUGAUGUAAAUAUAUCACUAGCCACUUUAAACAAUGCUACCUUAUAUAAUGUUACUUACCCUACAUUAUUCAUCUCAUAUGCAUACGUAUAUACUGUACUCUACAUCAUCGACUGCAUCCUUAUGUAAUACAUGUAUCACUAGCCACUUUAACUAUGCCACUUUGUUUACUUUGUCUACAUACUCAUCUCAUAUGUAUAUACUGUACUCGAUACCAUCUACUGUAUGCUGCUCUGUACCAUCACUCAUUCAUAUAUCCUUAUGUACAUAUUCCUUAUCCCCUUACACUGUGUAUAAGACAGUAGUUUUAGAAUUGUUAGUUAGAUUACUUGUUGGUUAUCACUGCAUUGUCGGAACUAGAAGCACAAGCAUUUCACUACACUCGCAUUAACAUCUGCUAACCAUGUGUAUGUGACAAAUAACAUUUGAUUUGAUUUGAUUUGAUGGCAAGAAUUAGAAAGUGAGGGUAUGCCAGAGUUUCCAGAUACUAGGAAUUAUCCUGUAGGAUGGAUAGCACCGGUAAUAAUAAUUCCUCACCCAGACGCUUUUAAAACCUGUGGCUCAUGUGAUAGAAGUACUGAAGGGGUACUCAGCGGGAGAUUAAUGUUAAGAGGACGAAUGUUAGACAACGUAUGUAUGUUAUGUCUAGCCCGCAGAGAUAAGUGGCCAACCCUAAAACCCAUAGUGAACAAGGGAAACAGAUGGGGACAUGUAGAAGAGCCAGAAGAGUUAAAUUUAACAAUCGUUUACAAGGGACAAGAAGUAGACUGGGAUAAGAGAACUGGCACUGUUGAAUUACAUGGGAUGGCUUACAAGACCUAUUCAACAGGUUGGAGAAGAAGGACAACAGAGACGGGUUCAAAUAUGCACAGGCUGUGAAUCAGGAACCAGAGGAAAGUACACCACCCAGUGGGGAAAUGAGGAUGGUGUUAGAGUGCCGCUUUGCAAGAGAUGUUUAUGCUUUAAGAGUUGCGCUAGAAAAAGGCAGGAGUGGUAUAGCGAGGACAAACAUGAGGUUUGGCCUAUGGAGAGAGAAUAUGCUGAUAUAUUUGAACAUGGUAGAAUAGCUACUAGAUGUAGACAUACAGAUGGUGUAUAUUUGAGAAUGAGGGACAGAGCUGAUAAUUAGGCAACAAUGCCGGGACAUCGUAGCUGGGCAACAGUAUGGGGAAUAACGGCUAGGUCAGACGGACUAGAGCUAGGGAUAACCAGAGUUGGAAAUCAGAGUCCGGUUAAAGGCACUAAGAGAAAAGAGACAGGGGAGGGUGUAGUAAAAUGCCAAAUGGAUCUACCUCCUGGUCCUCUUCCCCUGUCUUACCCACCAAGGGUAGAGACAGAGAUGACCUUGCCUACUGAAAUACCGGAUUGGGCAAAGCCACCAGAAGACGACUCAAGCCAACCAACUAUUGAACCUGACUGGUGUCAGGAAGAAUCACCCUCUGCCUCAAGUGACACCUCUGAAUAGGAACAGCUGAUAGACUCAUUGCUGAUAGAGUAAGGGCACUGUCAUAAACAGAGGCCCAUAUCCGCACUGUAAGAAAAGUAUUUCCUGUUGUAAGAUAUGUCAUCACCCUCUCUGCUCUGAGGGAAUGGGAGGAGCAGUGGAUCGGGAGCAGAGAAUCAAAAGGUAUAUAAAGAGACAUUUGCCAUUACUUUGGCGCUGACUUCUUGAAUUCUGAAUUCAUUUAGACAACCAUUUGACUUCGGGUAAAUUGACACCUGACUCAAAUUACUUAAAGAUUCUAACUUGUUGGAUCUGAGAAGGGACUUUCCAAUAUACCGUUUAACUAUUGAACAGCUGUUUUGUCACAUAUUGACCAGGUGCGUGUGUCUCAUAACCUCGGCCUCGUCGCGUGCCACGGACGCUGAGGUAGUUCAAUGGGACUGAGAGUCACUCUAGUCCUUUAGUUGUCCUUUAGUUGAUCUCUUGUUUAUACCUAUGGUUAUCUGAAUUGACCCUGUAAGCACAUUGACCAGGUGCGUGUGUCUCAGAACCU
This is a long non-coding RNA of Oncorhynchus nerka (sockeye salmon), 3227 nucleotides long. RefSeq lists it as uncharacterized. The transcript has 4 exons. The record is from RefSeq and is a predicted model, not a curated record. Lineage: Eukaryota; Metazoa; Chordata; Actinopteri; Salmoniformes; Salmonidae.